Molecule: non-coding RNA, 75 nt
Organism: Eragrostis curvula (weeping love grass)
Lineage: Eukaryota; Viridiplantae; Streptophyta; Magnoliopsida; Poales; Poaceae
Source: the annotation of a GenBank genome assembly
GGGCCUGUAGCUCAGAAGAUUAGAGCACAUGGCUACGAACCACAUUGUCGGGGGGUUCGAAUUCCUCCUUACCCA